GAUGAACGCUGGCGGCGUGCCUAAUACAUGCAAGUCGAGCGAACAGACGAGGAGCUUGCUCCUCUGACGUUAGCGGCGGACGGGUGAGUAACACGUGGAUAACCUACCUAUAAGACUGGGAUAACUUCGGGAAACCGGAGCUAAUACCGGAUAACAUGUUGAACCGCAUGGUUCAACAGUGAAAGACGGUCUUGCUGUCACUUAUAGAUGGAUCCGCGCCGCAUUAGCUAGUUGGUAAGGUAUCGGCUUACCAAGGCAACGAUGCGUAGCCGACCUGAGAGGGUGAUCGGCCACACUGGAACUGAGACACGGUCCAGACUCCUACGGGAGGCAGCAGUAGGGAAUCUUCCGCAAUGGGCGAAAGCCUGACGGAGCAACGCCGCGUGAGUGAAGAAGGUCUUCGGAUCGUAAAACUCUGUUAUUAGGGAAGAACAAAUGUGUAAGUAACUAUGCACGUCUUGACGGUACCUAAUCAGAAAGCCACGGCUAACUACGUG
RNAcentral lists this ribosomal RNA (497 nucleotides) under uncultured bacterium. RNAcentral's name for it is "partial 16S ribosomal RNA". It matches the Rfam family "Bacterial small subunit ribosomal RNA", at positions 28 to 507 of the family's 1533-position model. The record is from RNAcentral.